This 342-nucleotide ribosomal RNA is filed under the name uncultured Comamonadaceae bacterium. Its description in RNAcentral is "bacterial SSU rRNA". It matches the Rfam family "Bacterial small subunit ribosomal RNA", at positions 1 to 355 of the family's 1533-position model. The record is from RNAcentral. Lineage: Bacteria; Pseudomonadati; Pseudomonadota; Betaproteobacteria; Burkholderiales; Comamonadaceae.
CUCGGAGUUUGAUCCUGGCUCAGAUUGAACGCUGGCGGAAUGCUUUACACAUGCAAGUCGAACGGUAGAGGGGGCAACCCUUCGAGAGUGGCGAACGGGUGAGUAAUAUAUCGGAACGUGCCCAGUCGUGGGGGAUAACGUAGCGAAAGUUACGCUAAUACCGCAUACGAUCUAAGGAUGAAAGCGGGGACCGUAAGGCCUCGCGCGAUUGGAGCGGCCGAUAUCAGAUUAGGUAGUUGGUGGGGUAAAGGCUCACCAAGCCAACGAUCUGUAGCUGGUCUGAGAGGACGACCAGCCACACUGGAACUGAGACACGGUCCAGACUCCUACGGGAGCAGCAGU